Molecule: ribosomal RNA, 467 nt
Filed under: uncultured bacterium
Lineage: Bacteria
Description: partial 16S ribosomal RNA
Rfam family: Bacterial small subunit ribosomal RNA
Source: RNAcentral
GACGAACGCUGGCGGCGUGCUUAACACAUGCAAGUCGAACGGAAAGGCCCUGCUUUUGUGGGGUGCUCGAGUGGCGAACGGGUAGUAACACGUGAGUAACCUGCCCUUGACUUUGGGAUAACUUCAGGAAACUGGGGCUAAUACCGGAUAGGAGCUCCUGCUGCAUGGUGGGGGUUGGAAAGUUUCGGCGGUUGGGGAUGGACUCGCGGCUUAUCAGCUUGUUGGUGGGGUAGUGGCUUACCAAGGCUUUGACGGGUAGCCGGCCUGAGAGGGUGACCGGCCACAUUGGGACUGAGAUACGGCCCAGACACCUACGGGAGGCAGCAGUGGGGAAUAUUGCACAAUGGGCGGAAGCCUGAUGCAGCAACGCCGCGUGCGGGAUGACGGCCUUCGGGUUGUAAACCGCUUUCGCCUGUGACGAAGCGUGAGUGACGGUAAUGGGUAAAGAAGCACCGGCUAACUACGUG